GCCUGGAUAGCUCAGUCGGUAGAGCAGAGGACUGAAAAUCCUCGUGUCGGCGGUUCGAUUCCGUCUCCAGGCACUA
RNAcentral lists this transfer RNA (76 nucleotides) under bacterium. RNAcentral describes it as "tRNA-Phe". It matches the Rfam family "tRNA". Rfam says of the family: Transfer RNA (tRNA) molecules are approximately 80 nucleotides in length. Their secondary structure includes four short double-helical elements and three loops (D, anti-codon, and T loops). The record is from RNAcentral.